RNAcentral lists this ribosomal RNA (484 nucleotides) under uncultured bacterium. RNAcentral's name for it is "partial 16S ribosomal RNA". It matches the Rfam family "Bacterial small subunit ribosomal RNA", at positions 30 to 507 of the family's 1533-position model. The record is from RNAcentral.
AUUGAACGCUGGCGGCAGGCCUUACACAUGCAAGUCGAGCGGAUGAAGGGAGUUUGCUCUUGGAUCCAGUGGCGGACGGGUGAGUAAUGCAUAGGAACCUGCCUGGUAGUGGGGGAUAACGUCCGGAAACGGGCGCUAAUACCGCAUACGUCCUGAGGGAGAAAGCGGGGGAUCUUCGGACCUCACGCUAUCAGAUGAGCCUAGGGCGGAUUAGCUAGUUGGUGGGGUAAAGGCCUACCAAGGCGACGAUCCGUAACUGGUCUGAGAGGAUGACCAGUCACACUGGAACUGAGACACGGUCCAGACUCCUACGGGAGGCAGCAGUGGGGAAUAUUGGACAAUGGGCGAAAGCCUGAUCCAGCCAUGCCGCGUGUGUGAUGAAGGUCUUCGGAUUGUAAAGCACUUUUGGUUGGGAGGAAGAGCACUAAGUUAAUACCUUGCUGUUUUGACGUUACCAGCAGAAUAAGCACCGGCUAACUACGUG